CCUACGGGUGGCUGCAGUGAGGAAUAUUGGUCAAUGGACGAGAGUCUGAACCAGCCAAGUAGCGUGAAGGAUGACUGCCCUAUGGGUUGUAAACUUCUUUUAUAUGGGAAUAAAACGUUCCACGUGUGGGAUUUUGUAUGUACCAUAUGAAUAAGGAUCGGCUAACUCCGUGCCAGCAGCCGCGGUAAUACGGAGGAUCCGAGCGUUAUCCGGAUUUAUUGGGUUUAAAGGGAGCGUAGGUGGAUUGUUAAGUCAGUUGUGAAAGUUUGCGGAUCAACCGUAAAAUUGCAGUUGAAACUGGCAGUCUUGAGUACAGUAGAGGUGGGCGGAAUUCGUGGUGUAGCGGUGAAAUGCUUAGAUAUCACGAAGAACUCCGAGUGCGAAGGCAGUUCACUGGACUGCAACUGACACUGAGGCUCGAAAGUGUGGGUAUCAAACAGGAUUAGAUACCCGUGUAGUC
RNAcentral lists this ribosomal RNA (460 nucleotides) under uncultured bacterium. RNAcentral describes it as "partial 16S ribosomal RNA". It matches the Rfam family "Bacterial small subunit ribosomal RNA", at positions 338 to 795 of the family's 1533-position model. The record is from RNAcentral.